GACGAACGCUGGCGGCGUGCUUAACACAUGCAAGUCGAACGGAAAGGUCCUGCUUUUGCGGCGUGCUCGAGAGGCGAACGGGUGAGUAAAACGCGAGUAACCUGCCCUUAUCUUUGGGAUAACUUCAGGAGACUCGGGCGCAUACCGCAUAUGAUCUACUGAUGCAUGGUGUGGGAUGGUGAGAUUCGGCGGUUGGGGAUCGAAUCGAGGCUUAUCCGCCUGUUGGUCGGGUAGGUGCUUACCAAGGCUGUGACGGCUAGGCGGCCUGGGAGGGUUACCGGCCACCUGGGUACUGAGAUACGGAGCAGACGCCUACGGGAGGCAGUAGUGGAGAAUAUGGCACAGCGGGCGGAAGCCUGAUGCAGCAACGCCGCGUGCGGGAUGACGGCCUUCGGGGUGUAAACCGCUUUGGACUGUGACGAAGCGUGAGUGACGGUAAUGGGUAAAGAAGCACCGGCUAACUACGUG
RNAcentral lists this ribosomal RNA (468 nucleotides) under uncultured bacterium. RNAcentral describes it as "partial 16S ribosomal RNA". It matches the Rfam family "Bacterial small subunit ribosomal RNA", at positions 28 to 507 of the family's 1533-position model. The record is from RNAcentral.